RNAcentral lists this transfer RNA (74 nucleotides) under Tepidisphaeraceae bacterium. RNAcentral's name for it is "tRNA-Arg". It matches the Rfam family "tRNA". From Rfam's summary of the family: Transfer RNA (tRNA) molecules are approximately 80 nucleotides in length. RNAcentral also lists the same sequence under 2 other names. Lineage: Bacteria; Pseudomonadati; Planctomycetota; Phycisphaerae; Tepidisphaerales; Tepidisphaeraceae. The record is from RNAcentral.
GCAGCCGUAGCUCAGUUGGAUAGAGCAGCGGAUUUCUAAUCCGCCGGUCGCAGGUUCGAAUCCUGCCGGCUGCG